This 57-nucleotide microRNA precursor is filed under the name Equus caballus (horse). RNAcentral describes it as "microRNA eca-mir-217 precursor". Its record names the gene eca-mir-217. Lineage: Eukaryota; Metazoa; Chordata; Mammalia; Perissodactyla; Equidae. The record is from miRBase by way of RNAcentral.
UACUGCAUCAGGAACUGAUUGGAUAAGAAUCAGUCACCAUCAGUUCCUAAUGCAUUG